AGAGUUUGAUCAUGGCUCAGAGCGAACGCUGGCGGCAGGCCUAACACAUGCAAGUCGAACGGAUCCUUCGGGAUUAGUGGCGGACGGGUGAGUAACACGUGGGAACGUGCCCUUUGGUUCGGAACAACUCAGGGAAACUUGAGCUAAUACCGGAUAAGCCCUACGGGGGAAAGAUUUAUCGCCAUUGGAGCGGCCCGCGUCUGAUUAGCUAGUUGGUGAGGUAAAGGCUCACCAAGGCGACGAUCAGUAGCUGGUCUGAGAGGAUGAUCAGCCACAUUGGGACUGAGACACGGCCCAAACUCCUACGGGAGGCAGCAGUGGGGAAUCUUGCGCAAUGGGCGAAAGCCUGACGCAGCCAUGCCGCGUGAAUGAUGAAGGUCUUAGGAUUGUAAAAUUCUUUCAGCAGGGACGAUAAUGACGGUACCUGCAGAAGAAGCCCCGGCUAACUUCGUGCCAGCAGCCGCGGUAAUACGAAGGGGGCUAGCGUUGCUCGGAAUUACUGGGCGUAAAGGGCGCGUAGGCGGGUCGUUUAGUUAGAGGUGAAAGCCCAGGGCUCAACCCUGGAAUUGCCUUUAAUACUGGCGGCCUUGAGUAUGGCAGAGGUGUGUGGAACUCCGAGUGUAGAGGUGAAAUUCGUAGAUAUUCGGAAGAACACCAGUGGCGAAGGCGACACACUGGGCCAUUACUGACGCUGAGGCGCGAAAGCGUGGGGAGCAAACAGGAUUAGAUACCCUAGUAGUCC
Molecule: ribosomal RNA, 742 nt
Filed under: uncultured bacterium
Lineage: Bacteria
Description: bacterial SSU rRNA
Rfam family: Bacterial small subunit ribosomal RNA
Source: RNAcentral